UCAUACUAGCUGGGGAGAUAGCGGUGCCCUGUAUCUACAAUCCGCUUUAGUAGAGGUGAUGUCAAAUUUGAGGAAAAUUUUAGUGUCAACGCCUUAUUUUAAAAAUGUUGAGAAAACAGUCCUAUAUUGUAGAAAGCUUACGAAUCGUGUCAGGUCGGGAACGAAGCAGCACUAAGUUAGUUUUUCUAGGUUUAUGGGGUAGCUGUUUUUGAGUUUUUAUCUUAAGAAACGGAUGGUAAAAUUUUUUCGAUUGUUUGGCGUAUGA
Non-coding RNA from Leptotrichia sp. oral taxon 847, 265 nucleotides. The record is from Rfam. NCBI's taxonomy places the organism in Bacteria, Fusobacteriati, Fusobacteriota, Fusobacteriia, Fusobacteriales, Leptotrichiaceae.